This 245-nucleotide ribosomal RNA is filed under the name uncultured bacterium. RNAcentral's name for it is "partial 16S ribosomal RNA". The record is from RNAcentral.
CUGCUGCCUUCCGUAGGAGUCUGGGCCGUAUCUCAGUCCCAAUGUGGCCGGUCAACCUCUCAGUCCGGCUGCUGAUCGUCGCCUAGGUGGGCCGUUACCCCGCCUACUAGCUAAUCAGACGCGAGGCCAUCUUCCAGCGAUAAAUCUUUGAUAUCAAAACCAUGCGGUUUCGAUAUGUCAUGCGGUAUUAGCAGUCGUUUCCAACUGUUGUCCCCCUCUGGAAGGCAGGUUCCUCACGCGUUACU